Molecule: ribosomal RNA, 253 nt
Filed under: uncultured bacterium
Lineage: Bacteria
Description: partial 16S ribosomal RNA
Rfam family: Bacterial small subunit ribosomal RNA
Source: RNAcentral
UACGUAGGGUGCGAGCGUUAAUCGGAAUUACUGGGCGUAAAGCGUGCGCAGGCGGUUGGUUAAGUCUGCUGUGAAAGCCCCGGGCUCAACCUGGGAAUGGCAUUGGAAACUGGCCAGCUGGAGUGUGGCAGAGGGGGGUGGAAUUCCGCGUGUAGCAGUGAAAUGCGUAGAGAUGCGGAGGAACACCGAUGGCGAAGGCAGCCCCCUGGGCCAGCACUGACGCUCAGGCACGAAAGCGUGGGGAGCAAAAGGG